This 267-nucleotide ribosomal RNA is filed under the name uncultured gamma proteobacterium MB10g-RC8. RNAcentral describes it as "partial 16S ribosomal RNA". It matches the Rfam family "Bacterial small subunit ribosomal RNA", at positions 235 to 494 of the family's 1533-position model. Lineage: Bacteria; Pseudomonadati; Pseudomonadota; Gammaproteobacteria. The record is from RNAcentral.
GUCCGAUUAGCUGGUUGGUGGGGUAAAGGCCCACCAAGGCGACGAUCGGUAGCUGGUCUGAGAGGAUGAUCAGCCACACUGGAACUGAGACACGGUCCAGACUCCUACGGGAGGCAGCAGUGGGGAAUAUUGGACAAUGGGCGCAAGCCUGAUCCAGCAAUGCCGCGUGUGUGAAGAAGGCCUUCGGGUUGUAAAGCACUUUGAUUGGGAAAGAAGGCCCCGGGAUUAAUACUUUCGGGGAUUGACGUUACCCACAGAAGAAGCACC